This 301-nucleotide ribosomal RNA is filed under the name uncultured bacterium. RNAcentral's name for it is "partial 16S ribosomal RNA". It matches the Rfam family "Bacterial small subunit ribosomal RNA", at positions 509 to 807 of the family's 1533-position model. The record is from RNAcentral.
CAGUCGCCGCGGUAAUGCGUAGGUGGCAAGCGUUGUCCGGAAUUAUUGGGCGUAAAGGGCUCGCAGGCGGUUUCUUAAGUCUGAUGUGAAAGCCCCCGGCUCAACCGGGGAGGGUCAUUGGAAACUGGGAAACUUGAGUGCAGAAGAGGAGAGUGGAAUUCCACGUGUAGCGGUGAAAUGCGUAGAGAUGUGGAGGAACACCAGUGGCGAAGGCGACUCUCUGGUCUGUAACUGACGCUGAGGAGCGAAAGCGUGGGGAGCAAACAGGAUUAGAUACCCGUGUAGUCCCUGUCUCUUAUAC